Non-coding RNA from Acanthosepion pharaonis, 111 nucleotides. NCBI's taxonomy places the organism in Eukaryota, Metazoa, Mollusca, Cephalopoda, Sepiida, Sepiidae. The record is from the annotation of a GenBank genome assembly.
CGGAAAUAUCGCGGUGAAGUACAGGUCCUCGUACGAUCCUCGAAGUUAAGCAACCUCGAGCCUGUUCAGUAUCUGGAUGGGUAACCGCUUUGGAAUACCGAGUGCUGUAAG